This 329-nucleotide unclassified non-coding RNA is filed under the name soil metagenome. RNAcentral's name for it is "partial contains 5.8S ribosomal RNA, internal transcribed spacer 2, and large subunit ribosomal RNA". The stretch from base 1 to 120 matches the Rfam family "5.8S ribosomal RNA", at positions 35 to 154 of the family's 154-position model. The record is from RNAcentral.
GAUGAAGAACGCAGUGAAAUGCGAUAAGUAAUGUGAAUUGCAGAAUUCAGUGAAUCAUCGAAUCUUUGAACGCACAUUGCGCCCCCUGGUAUUCCCGGGGGCAUGCCUGUCCGAGCGUCAUUACAACCCUCAAGCUCAGCUUGGUGUUGGGCCCCGCCGCCCCGGCGGGCCCUAAAGUCAGUGGCGGUGCCGUCCGGCUCCGAGCGUAGUAAUUCUUCUCGCUCUGGAGGCCCGGUCGUGUGCUCGCCAGCAACCCCCAAUUUUUUUCAGGUUGACCUCGGAUCAGGUAGGGAUACCCGCUGAACUUAAGCAUAUCAAUAAGCGGAGGA